CAAAAGGGCUGUCUGUUGUUUUUAUUCAGAAGGAAAAUGACAGCUGAUGGAGCAGCCUGGAGUGCUUCCUUGGUCUCUGAUAAUCUUAAGAAGUCACUGCUGGAAGUUUUGGAGGAUGUGAGGACAUCCAACUACUUGGAGUUUGCUCAUCAGGUCCAGCAAGGGGAGUCAGAAUGCUCAAUUGUGACUAUAUAAUCUGCAUAUCAAGCUGAAUACUCCGGGGAUUUGUUAUUCUGUUCAACAAAGCCUAAUAUGCCUUCCUGGUCAGUAUGUGACUGCACCUGGAUUGUCUACUGCAU
This 299-nucleotide long non-coding RNA is filed under the name Gallus gallus (chicken). Its description in RNAcentral is "lncRNA (ENSGALG00010006314.1)". Lineage: Eukaryota; Metazoa; Chordata; Aves; Galliformes; Phasianidae. The record is from RNAcentral.